RNAcentral lists this ribosomal RNA (433 nucleotides) under uncultured bacterium. RNAcentral's name for it is "partial 16S ribosomal RNA". It matches the Rfam family "Bacterial small subunit ribosomal RNA", at positions 29 to 507 of the family's 1533-position model. The record is from RNAcentral.
AACGAACGCUGGCGGCAUGCCUAACACAUGCAAGUCGAACGAGACCUUCGGGUCUAGUGGCGAACGGGUGCGUAACGCGUGGGAACCUGCCCUUAGGUUCGGAAUAACUCCCCGAAAGGGGUGCUAAUACCGGAUAAUGUCUUCGGACCAAAGAUUUAUCGCCUUUGGAUGGGCCCGCGUUGGAUUAGCUAGUUGGUAGGGUAAAAGCCUACCAAGGCGACGAUCCAUAGCUGGUCUGAGAGGAUGAUCAGCCACACUGGGACUGAGACACGGCCCAGACUGCUACGGGAGGCAGCAGUGGGGAAUAUUGGACAAGGGGCGAAAGCCUGAUCCAGCAAUGCCGCGUGAGUGAGGAAGGCCUUAGGGUUGUAAAGCUCUUUUACCCGGGAUGAUAAUGACAGUACCGGGAGAAUAAGCUCCGGCUAACUCCGUG